Molecule: ribosomal RNA, 915 nt
Filed under: uncultured prokaryote
Description: bacterial SSU rRNA
Rfam family: Bacterial small subunit ribosomal RNA
Source: RNAcentral
UCGGGCUUCAUGCAGUCGAGCGGAAGAAGGGAGCUUGCUCCCGGAUGUUAGCGGCGGACGGGUGAGUAACACGUGGGUAACCUGCCUGUAAGACUGGGAUAACUCCGGGAAACCGGAGCUAAUACCGGAUAGUUCCUUGAACCGCAUGGUUCAAGGAUGAAAGACGGUUUCGGCUGUCACUUACAGAUGGACCCGCGGCGCAUUAGCUAGUUGGUGGGGUAAUGGCUCACCAAGGCGACGAUGCGUAGCCGACCUGAGAGGGUGAUCGGCCACACUGGGACUGAGACACGGCCCAGACUCCUACGGGAGGCAGCAGUAGGGAAUCUUCCGCAAUGGACGAAAGUCUGACGGAGCAACGCCGCGUGAGUGAUGAAGGUUUUCGGAUCGUAAAGCUCUGUUGUUAGGGAAGAACAAGUGCGAGAGUAACUGCUCGCACCUUGACGGUACCUAACCAGAAAGCCACGGCUAACUACGUGCCAGCAGCCGCGGUAAUACGUAGGUGGCAAGCGUUGUCCGGAAUUAUUGGGCGUAAAGGGCUCGCAGGCGGUUUCUUAAGUCUGAUGUGAAAGCCCCCGGCUCAACCGGGGAGGGUCAUUGGAAACUGGGAAACUUGAGUGCAGAAGAGGAGAGUGGAAUUCCACGUGUAGCGGUGAAAUGCGUAGAGAUGUGGAGGAACACCAGUGGCGAAGGCGACUCUCUGGUCUGUAACUGACGCUGAGGAGCGAAAGCGUGGGGAGCGAACAGGAUUAGAUACCCUGGUAGUCCACGCCGUAAACGAUGAGUGCUAAGUGUUAGGGGGUUUCCGCCCCUUAGUGCUGCAGCUAACGCAUUAAGCACUCCGCCUGGGGAGUACGGUCGCAAGACUGAAACUCAAAGGAAUUGACGGGGGCCCGCACAAGCGGUGGAGCAUGUGGG